Molecule: long non-coding RNA, 1100 nt
Organism: Heterocephalus glaber (naked mole-rat)
Lineage: Eukaryota; Metazoa; Chordata; Mammalia; Rodentia; Bathyergidae
Source: Ensembl
UAAGAGGUUCUCUCAGGGUCUUUCUCUAUCCUAGGGUUGCUCCACAUCUCUGAACUCAUUUCUGUUGAUAUAACUGAGGCCUUGGCAUUGUACUUGUUUUAUGAGUUCAAACAGACUUCCACUUAAACCCAGAGACUCCAGAAUUCAGGUGUCUCUCAGAUGUCUUACAGUUCCAUCCUUUGAUCCAGAAUCCCACUUCAAAUGGAAAUUUUAUUUUACUUUAUAUUUAAAUUGUUUGAGGUUGCCACCUGCCAAUCCUUUUAAGAUCAGAGUUUGACACAAAAUUGUUCAGUGGGUGGGUGUAUUACUGUUGUUUUAAAGAUCCCCAUUAUUAGCUGUGCAGUUCUCCCCCAAGAGUUCCUUACACCACUUGGAUUCCACAUGGGAGAGCAAAGCUUCUGUAGCAAAAAGACAUUGUCAAGACUUCCAGAGGUCAAAGAAAGUAGUGGGGACUCGGCCACCAAGGUUCCUGGCACCCGCUUCCUGGUUCCACCACCCAGCCUUGGGGAGGUUCCCUGCAGUAUAUUAUCCGUGAGUGCACCUGUGAUCCUUCUCAGGAAGGGAUUUAGAGCUUCAUCGAUUCUGCAUAAUUAGUGGGGAGACUACAGUAUUCCUGUGUAUGAAUUUGUUACGGGACAUCAGUCCAGGUGCUUGCCGCACAACAGGCCAAUUCACACCAAGAGACAAGGCGCCGAGGCAAGGAAGGUGACUAGAGAAAAGCCAGCAGGACAAGAAGAUGGAGGACUCUUACCCCAAGUCGUCCGUGUCUGUUGGGAAGCUGGCUGAGGAGUGAUUUAUAUCAGCAGGCGAUGGGUGUUCCCAGACCGGUGGGCACCUUCACACAGCAGGUGGGCCAGAGAAGCGAUCUGAGGCUAAUCGCCUAGUCAUGAGAUGCUUUUCAGUUCUGCAGAUGUCAGGGAAAAGAUUAUGACGGGCUAUUCUUUCCAUGUACGGCAUACAGACCAUCACCAAACUUUUCACAAUGAAAGAGAACGUACUUCACCUGACGUGGAGAUCAGGUGAGGCUUAAACAGGGAGUCGGUGUGAGAUUUGAACUUAGUACUUGGCUUCAGUUUUACCCUAAUGUAGUUAACCAGCCC